RNAcentral lists this long non-coding RNA (1574 nucleotides) under Lucilia cuprina (Australian sheep blowfly). RNAcentral describes it as "uncharacterized LOC124419900, transcript variant X1". The record is from RNAcentral. Lineage: Eukaryota; Metazoa; Arthropoda; Insecta; Diptera; Calliphoridae.
UUUGGCAAAAUAUGAAGUUUAUAGAUAUUUUUUUUCUUGCUGUUGCUUUUUAUUAUUUGAUAUUAAAAAAUUUAUAUAUAUAUAAAUAAAACAGAGAUUUUUUUCAACAUUAUUAAACAACUUUUUCUCUUUCGGAGGUGCUGCGCGUUUAUAAAUUUAUGUAUUUAAUAGUAAAAAUGCAAUUAAAAUCGUCAAGACAUAGACAAAUGUGUGGUUAUGAGUAAUAAAGGAUUAAGUCGUUUUAAAAUGGAAUUGAACUAGGUUCCUGCAAAGUGUAGUUAUUUAUAGUUUGAACAGUUAAUGGUUUGGUCGUUUACGAGUUAUACUCUUAUUGCUUGAAGCCACAGAAUUGGAACUUAAAACUAAUAGUAAUGUACACAAUUUUAAAGUAAAUACUUAAGCUAAGUAUACAAAUCAUUGAUGAAAUGUUGCUGCUACAUAACUAGCUUUUCUUUCUACAUUAAGUUAAUGUUAUCAUUAUGUUAAGCUUAUGUAAAGAGAAUGUUGGUUGUUUAAUUUCUAUUAGAAAUAAAAUGUUAGUUGUAUGUUAAAAACUUUUCAUCAUGGCUAUAUAGCUAAAACCAAAGAAAAAACACUUGUUAUAUUUAAAAAAAAUAAAUCUUGUGGUUGUUGUGUGUUUUUAGUUGUUUUUGUUUUACUAUGAGAAAAUGUUAAAUGUUGUUUGUGUUAAGACGUUGGUUGCUUGUUGUUUUAUGAGAGUAUUUGUAUUUUUUUCGAUUAUUGUUGUCUGUUUUUUGAACAGUAACUUUUUUGUUGUAGCUGACUUUAAAUCAGUUGAGUUUUUAACAUUUAAUGCAAUACAACAAAACGCGGCGUGUUUUAAAACAAUUUAUUAUUAUUUUUUUAAAUGAUUCAAUAUUAUAAAAUAAUAAAAUUUUAAAGUGCUUAAACAUUUAUAAAAAAAUGAACCAAAAUAAUUUAAAAAAAUAAACUAAAAUUUUGUAAAAAAAAAUGGCAGAAAAUUAAAAUUUUUUUUUAAAAACAAUUAUCAAUUUAAAACCACAACAAAAAUCCUUAUUGUAAAAACAAGAAGAAAAAGGAUUGUGUUAAAAAUUCUUUAAAAAAUUUUUUAGUUUCGUCAAACUGGUUGCAAAAGUUUGAAAGUGAAUAGACUGUGACGUAUGAACGUUCAAAUCUACGCAAUAUUUGUUAAGUGUAAUUCUACUACCAUAUUUAAAAACUAGUUUAAAUCAAAAAAGAAAAAACUAUAACAUUAGCAGAAUAUAUAGUAUAUUGAUAAAAAAUUAAAUAAAAUAUAUCUAAAAUCUUAUACAAUUAACUAGAACAGAUUUAAAAAAUUAUAUAAAAUAUAUAUAUAACAAAUUGUUGUUUCACAAUUUUUUUUUUCAAACAAUAAAUGAUAAAGGUCAUAUAACGUUAUAAUUUCAAUUUUUUUAACAAAAAGAAAAAAACGAAUGUUUUAAUAUAUUUUAUUUCUGGUGAGGAUUAAUCAUCAAUAAGCAACAAAAUAUAGAGAAACAAAUAAUAAUGUUAAAAUAAAAUCAAGCCUCCACUUAAACGUGCUUUAAAUUCGGAAAAAAAUAAAUCGAUUU